GACGAACGCUGGCGGCGUGCCUAAUACAUGCAAGUUGAGCGCUGAAGGUUGGUACUUGUGCCGACUGGAUGAGCAGCGAACGGGUGAGUAACGCGUGGGGAAUCUGCCUUUGAGCGGGGGACAACAUGUGGAAACGAAUGCUAAUACCGCAUAAAAACUUUAAACACAAGUUUUAAGUUUGAAAGAUGCAAUUGCGGCACUUAAAGAUGAUCCCGCGUUGUAUUAGCUAGUUGGUGGGGUAGUGGCUUACCAAGGCGUUGAUGGGUAGCCGACCUGAGAGGGUGACCGGCCACAUUGGGACUGAGAUACGGCCCAGACUGCUACGGGAGGCAGCAGUGGGGAAUAUUGCACAAUGGGCGGAAGCCUGAUGCAGCAACGCCGCGUGCGGGAUGACGGCCUUCGGGUUGUAAACCGCGUUCGCCUGUGACGAAGCGUGAGUGACGGUAAUGGGUAAAGAAGCACCGGCUAACUACGUG
Molecule: ribosomal RNA, 476 nt
Filed under: uncultured bacterium
Lineage: Bacteria
Description: partial 16S ribosomal RNA
Rfam family: Bacterial small subunit ribosomal RNA
Source: RNAcentral